Molecule: transfer RNA, 72 nt
Filed under: Flagellimonas allohymeniacidonis
Lineage: Bacteria; Pseudomonadati; Bacteroidota; Flavobacteriia; Flavobacteriales; Flavobacteriaceae
Description: Muricauda sp. 176CP4-71 tRNA-Ser
Rfam family: tRNA
About the family: Transfer RNA (tRNA) molecules are approximately 80 nucleotides in length. Their secondary structure includes four short double-helical elements and three loops (D, anti-codon, and T loops).
Source: RNAcentral
AAUUGCUUAGAAAAUUAGUAAACCUGCCUUCUAAGCAGACGGUCGAAGGUUCGAAUCCUUCCGCGAUCACCA